UAGGGAAUCUUCCACAAUGGACGCAAGUCUGAUGGAGCAACGCCGCGUGAGUGAAGAAGGUUUUCGGAUCGUAAAGCUCUGUUGUUGGUGAAGAAGGAUAGAGGCAGUAACUGGUCUUUAUUUGACGGUAAUCAACCAGAAAGUCACGGCUAACUACGUGCCAGCAGCCGCGGUAAUACGUAGGUGGCAAGCGUUGUCCGGAUUUAUUGGGCGUAAAGCGAGCGCAGGCGGAAUGAUAAGUCUGAUGUGAAAGCCCACGGCUCAACCGUGGAACUGCAUCGGAAACUGUCAUUCUUGAGUGCAGAAGAGGAGAGUGGAACUCCAUGUGUAGCGGUGGAAUGCGUAGAUAUAUGGAAGAACACCAGUGGCGAAGGCGGCUCUCUGGUCUGCAACUGACGCUGAGGCUCGAAAGCAUGGGUAGCGAACAGGAUUAGAUACCCUGGUAGUCCAUGCCGUAAACGAUGAGCGCUAGGUGUUGGGGACUUUCCGGUCUCAGUGCCGCAGCAAACGCAUUAAGCGCUCCGCCUGGGGAGUACGACCGCAAGGUUGAAAC
RNAcentral lists this ribosomal RNA (553 nucleotides) under uncultured bacterium. RNAcentral's name for it is "partial 16S ribosomal RNA". It matches the Rfam family "Bacterial small subunit ribosomal RNA", at positions 355 to 900 of the family's 1533-position model. The record is from RNAcentral.